UGCCCCAGUAACGGCGAGUGAAGCGGCAACAGCUCAAAUUUGAAAUCUGGCCCUUGUGGUCCGAGUUGUAAUUUGUAGAGGAUGCUUUUGGUGCGGUGCCUUCCGAGUUCCCUGGAACGGGACGCCAUAGAGGGUGAGAGCCCCGUCUGGUUGGACACCAAGCCUCUGUAAAGCUCCUUCGACGAGUCGAGUAGUUUGGGAAUGCUGCUCUAAAUGGGAGGUAUAUGUCUUCUAAAGCUAAAUAUUGGCCAGAGACCGAUAGCGCACAAGUAGAGUGAUCGAAAGAUGAAAAGCACUUUGAAAAGAGGGUUAAAUAGUACGUGAAAUUGUUGAAAGGGAAGCGUUUGUGACCAGACUUGGGCUUGGUUAAUCAUCCGGCGUUCUCGCCGGUGCACUUUGCCAGCCCAGGCCAGCAUCAGUUCGUCGCGGGGGAUAAAGGUAGCGGGAAUGUGGCUCCUCGGAGUGUUAUAGCCCGUUGCGUAAUACCCUGUGGUGGACUGAGGUUCGCGCAUCUGCAAGGAUGCUGGCGUAAUGGUCAUCAACGACCCGUCUUGAAACACGGACCAAGGAGUCGUCUUCGUAUGCGAGUGUUCGGGUGUCAAACCCCUACGCGUAAUGAAAGUGAACGCAGGUGAGAGCUUCGGCGCAUCAUCGACCGAUCCUGAUGUUCUCGGAUGGAUUUGAGUAAGAGCAUACGGGGCCGGACCCGAAAGAAGGUGAACUAUGCCUGUAUAGGGUGAAGCCAGAGGAAACUCUGGUGGAGGCUCGCAGCGGUUCUGACGUGCAAAUCGAUCGUCAAAUAUGGGCAUGGGGG
This 814-nucleotide ribosomal RNA is filed under the name Thyronectria rhodochlora. Its description in RNAcentral is "LSU rRNA". It matches the Rfam family "Eukaryotic large subunit ribosomal RNA", at positions 76 to 923 of the family's 3401-position model. Lineage: Eukaryota; Fungi; Ascomycota; Sordariomycetes; Hypocreales; Nectriaceae. The record is from RNAcentral.